CCGUCUCAUUCUAAAAAUAUAACGUAAAUAUACUGACGAUUUCAAGCUUUAUUAUACACAUUUCUCGUUUUUGAUAUUCCGUCGAAUGUUACUAGCUAGAUAGAACCCUCAGCCCUUGGCACAUAAUUUUGUCCGAUAAAUGAAUUAAUUUUCUACUUGACAGGCUUGUUUUAAAUACUUGUUUUCCUGCUACCACAAUUGCUUAGUUUGUUUUUGCCUUCAUGGUGCCUUAACAACAAUAUAGCGUCUCGUAUGAUGCUUAGCCCACUUCACCCCCUAUAUUUCAACAGUUCAAAGACUUGAGGCUAAAAUGAUUUAAUUUUCAUUAUUUUUGGUAAAAAAUUAAAAUAACCCCUUGUCUUAGAAUGGGUUAAUCCUUCAAGGAUUGGAAACCACAUUCCUCAAUUAUGAUUUUGCGCCGAAUAUUAUUAGCUAGAUACAUAUACAUAUCUCUCAGCGGAUCCACAAUGACUGUGCAAAUUCCGAAAGCGUGAAUCAGCAAAAAGGCGAUGAGCCAAUACCAGAGUCAGUGGUGCAGGACAGUGAGUCGCUGGGAUCACUCAUGUACCUUGUCCUAGACACAAAAGUUGCCCAUGCACCACAACAUAUUUGCGAAGGAUUUCACGACAGCUAUGCUGCCUGGAUAACCGUCGACUAUCCAUCCGUACAUUAUACUCAAGGAGCUGGUUGACAAUCUGAGGCGCCACAUGGUUUGUGCCAUUCGAUUUCUAAGCACAAUAUUUGAUGAGAGUCUGGAAAUCCAAGCUGAAUCCUCGGCCAUACCAAUCUACUACCACUCCGACCUGAAUGCCGUUUAUCCCGAGGAGUGUUUGCUGCGAGGUCCCGGAGCCAGCGGCGGGUAACACGGGAUUUAUCCAAAGCAUUCAAUGCAUUCGCGUAGUACAUACAUACAUAUGUACAUACAAAUGCCAAGCCACUGCACCGCGGCCAAAACGAAGUACAACACACGGCCACAACGAAAUAUCUAAUUAUGUAGAUACAUAUAUUCAUCCACCCACCGCAUCCACCUGGUACCAGUGGAUGUUUACUGUAUGAAGAACCUUAACGCUGCCUCAUACCGAAUUGUAUUUUUGAGACUGCAAUAAAAUUAAGCGAUGCGAGUAUGUAUUUAUAAUCUGAUUGCGUUUCCGUUC
RNAcentral lists this small RNA (1154 nucleotides) under Drosophila pseudoobscura pseudoobscura. RNAcentral's name for it is "GA32024". Lineage: Eukaryota; Metazoa; Arthropoda; Insecta; Diptera; Drosophilidae. The record is from RNAcentral.